AGUGAACGCUGGCGGUAGGCCUAACACAUGCAAGUCGAACGGCAGCACAGUAAGAGCUUGCUCUUACGGGUGGCGAGUGGCGGACGGGUGAGGAAUACAUCGGAAUCUACUUUUUCGUGGGGGAUAACGUAGGGAAACUUACGCUAAUACCGCAUACGACCUACGGGUGAAAGCAGGGGAUCUUCGGACCUUGCGCGAUUGAAUUAGCCGAUGUCGGAUUAGCUAGUUGGCGGGGUAAAGGCCCACCAAGGCGACGAUCCGUAGCUGGUCUGAGAGGAUGAUCAGCCACACUGGAACUGAGACACGGUCCAGACUCCUACGGGAGGCAGCAGUGGGGAAUAUUGGACAAUGGGCGCAAGCCUGAUCCAGCCAUACCGCGUGGGUGAAGAAGGCCUUCGGGUUGUAAAGCCCUGUUGUUGGGAAAGAAAAGCAGCAGGUUAAUACCUCGCUGUUCUGACGGUACCCAAAGAAUAAGCACCGGCUAACUUCGUG
Molecule: ribosomal RNA, 492 nt
Filed under: uncultured bacterium
Lineage: Bacteria
Description: partial 16S ribosomal RNA
Rfam family: Bacterial small subunit ribosomal RNA
Source: RNAcentral